UAAGUAACCUGCCCUAGACAGGGGGAGUAACUGCUGGAAACGGCAGCUAAGACCGCAUAGGUAUGGACACUGCAUGGUGACCAUAUUAAAAGUGCCAAGGCACUGGUAGAGGAUGGACUUAUGGCGCAUUAGCUGGUUGGUGAGGUAACGGCUCACCAAGGCGACGAUGCGUAGCCGACCUGAGAGGGUGACCGGCCACACUGGGACUGAGACACGGCCCAGACUCCUACGGGAGGCAGCAUG
This 243-nucleotide ribosomal RNA is filed under the name uncultured bacterium. Its description in RNAcentral is "partial 16S ribosomal RNA". It matches the Rfam family "Bacterial small subunit ribosomal RNA", at positions 118 to 353 of the family's 1533-position model. The record is from RNAcentral.